AAAAAUGGAAAGUACUCUCAUUUACUCCCAACAACAACCUGCUUCUUCAAAUCUUAAACCUCCCAAACCCCCAAAUAUCCCUACAAACUCAGACGCAACCAUCACUUCCAAUAACAAUCCAAUAAGAAACAUGAUUAUUGACACACUCGAACUCAAUACCUCUACUACUGUUUCUACUCACAAAUCAUAUCUUCAUACCCUAACCUCUACUAAUGACAAUUAUUCACCUCAUACUGCAUAUGAACCUCCAAGCCUUUCCAUGAUGAUUGAUGAUGAAUUGGAGGCACCAAUCGAUGCCUCUAAUUUUAUUCCACUUUCAAUGAAAGAACAAAGUAGAAUUUAUAAACCUUGGCAAAAUGCAGUAAUUGUUAAGGUUUAUGGUUUUAAGGUAGAACAUCAACUACUUCGCAAAAAAUCUAUACCUUAUGGCAACCCACAGAAAAUCUACCUCUCAUAUAUUUGUGUUCAGAUUUCUUCCUCCUAAAGUUUCAAAAGGAAGAAAAUAAAAAUCGUGCCUUACAUAAUGGCCUUUGGUUCGUUUUAAAUCAUUUUCUCUCAGUUCGACAAUGGGAACCAAAGUUUAUGGCUUCAGAGACGAAAAUAAAUUAUUUUGCUAUAUGGCUACGACUACCGGAAUUACCUACUGAAUUUUAUGAUUUUCAUAUUAUUCAGAAAGUGGGUAAUAAAAUUGAAAAAUUACUAACAGUGGAUAAUUGUACCUCUUCAACAACAAGGGGUCGAUAUGCUAGGCUAUGUGUUGAAAUACCGUUGGAUCACCCUUUAAGAACCCAUGUUUAUAUUGGAAAUCAUAAGCAAAAUAUCUUUUAUGAAGGAUUGAAUUUGCUAUGUAUUAAAUGUGGUCGGAUGGGGCAUAAUCAAAGAGUAUGCACCUACCAGGUUCAAGAUGAACAUCGUAUUGUUACUACUCCUAUCAACAUAUCAGCCAUUCCUAACCCUCCCCACAAUCUAUCAACGGAAGAAUGGAAGACAGUGCAAUUCCAAAGAAUUUUUUUUUACGAAAUCUAAUUAUAACACUGCCAAUCAUUUGCCACAAGUACCUUCUUUAGCUCUUAAUCUAAGAGCUUUUCAGGUAAGUCUUCAUCCAUUACUCCUCAUCUUCUUUCUUUUACGCAAUUAACAAUUAAUAACCCUAAUACUAUACCUAGUACCCUGACAACCUUUAAAGAGACUAUAACACCCACUUUAACCACUAAUCAAUUUGAUACACUAAUUACUACUGAUUUGGAUAAGCCUGAUCUACUGCCUCAACAAGCAAAAGCAAAAGAUACAAAAUUAACUUCUUCAAAAUACACUCAAGUGUCUAUUUAAUCGACCCAAUCACAGCUUGGUCUUCAUUCAAAACCUAUACAAAACCGUGAAAAUGGCCACGUAAGCACACUACAAAUGCAACCACACUAUCCAAACACCCCUUCAUCAACACACAUGCAAACCCUAAUACAAGACCUACCAAACUAUACCACAUCCGCUUCAACCUCAUCAUCUUUCCCUAACCCUAAUUUGAUAAUUCCCAUGCAACUAGACAAUGAUAGUUUGCCCACCUAUUCAAACCAUACAAACACACUGCCACCAUAUCAAUUAUUCCAACCGACCCUCUCCUCUAUUGAUACAAAAUCUCCUAUAAUUCUAUCAAAUCCGGACACAACUACUCAAAUUCCACCCAACAAUUCAAUUAAUUCAUUCUCCAAGUUCCAACAUACACAAGAUGUUUUCCCCAAAUCUAAAUUACUUAUGGAGACAACAAUCCACAACCAACCAGUCCACUCAUCGUUUGCUACACAACCACAUACCUCACUCCCUUCCUCUAUCAUACUUGAUAAUGGAACCAAACACCAUUGUCUACACUGCACAGACUCCUAUGCACCAACACAACUCACCUCUUGGCUCGAGACAGGUUUACAGAGUCAUGCUCUUACUUUCACGAUGGAAGUCAACCAUCAAGAGGUGGCAAUUCUUAUAAACCAUCCGAGGGACCUAACUCAGUAGUGAUGGAAGGCAUGCAAUUAGGGAUAGAGAUUUACGGAAGGUACCAUUGGUCAAUGUCACAGGCUCCUUAUCUUGGGCCAUACCAUCAACCUCCUCUCCCAACACCAUAUUGGGACCCCUUCAUCUUCACCCACACUUUCUUCAGAUGUCGUUUUAUCCAAACCCCAAUAUUGCCGCUCCAUGGAUCCAACCUUACUGGGAUCCUCCACCACCUCCAAUCUCAGUUUCAUUACCCACCCACUCUCCAUCACACAGUCCCAAUCUAGUAGAACAAGACCAAAACUUUCAAGCGGAACUAGAUGCAACAGUCAUUUACAACAGAGAAACAUGUCCAAUUCAUGCAUUUCUAGAUGGAAUAAGGGUCUUUGUCUAGAAGGAGGAGUACGAAAGAAAGAUAUACAUAAGGUGUCCUACAAAUCUCCUAACGACAUCAUUUCGUCUAAGGCCAACUACAAAUCCAGCAGUGGGGAAGUAUGUAUCACGACCCCAGUUCACCCUCAGUGAGCUGCCGUGACGUCACCUAGUCUCUACGACUAGGUAAGCCUAACAAGUGCGGAAAUUAAAUGGAAACUUGCGGAAAUAUAAGUUAAAAGACAAGGAUAACCAAAAAGGAAAACAGUAUAUAGAUUGCCGCUCGGCAUAUACUGCACAACAUCUCAAACUGUUAAAACACUAUCCCAAAACCCGAAAACUCACGGAACAUAAGCUGAGAAAACACUACAUAGUUCUAAUCUCCGGAAUGUCUAACAAGAACAAAAGUACAGAAGGGCUAAAUACUAGAUGCAAGAAUAAAGAGAGACUCCUCAUUCUGCGGACACGACAGAUAUACCUCAAAGUCCCGUAGAAUCGCCUUGCCUCAAGAAUGAUAAGCUUGAGUAGAGGUACCUGGAUCUGCACAUGAAAAACAUGCACAGAAAGGGCAUGAGUACACCACAUAGGUACUCAGUAAGUGCCAAGUCUAACCUCGGUCGGGUAGUGACGAGGAAGGUUAGGGCCCUACUGAGGUUAAAUAAAAAUAUAAGGGUUAGCAGUAUGAAAUAAAGCAGUAUAAUUAAGUGCAACAGUAAGAAAAUAUCAUAGAACGGAAGGAACAACAACAACUAGUACAGAGACCACAAACCACGGAAGAAACACAACUCAACACAAAAAUAACAAGCGGGGCACCUUCCAGGAUACCGUCCUGUAGUCCCAAUUAAAACUAUCCAGUGGAUCUUCUCGGGAUACCGUUCCAUAGUCCAUCAUAUGUAUAUGUCCGAAGGAUCUCCCGGAAUCCCAUCCCGUAGUCCAACUAUCAAUGAGCGGGGAUCUAUCGGAAUCUGAUUCGUAGUCCUAAAUGUAAAUACCCAGUACUGGGGGAAUCUACACGGUGCAUUCUCGUAGUUCCAUAUAACUGUGCAGGGGGAUCUACCGGGAGUCUAACCCAUAGUCCCAAAGUAAACAGACAAUGGGCAGUUACCGGAAUCCCACAUCCGUAGUCCCAAUGUAAAUACACAAAUAGCAGCAAGAAGAUAUUCAGAAAUUGGAAAUUUCAUAUCAAGGCAUCAAGUAAUUCUAACCUAGCAUGCUGCACGUAGUUAAGGUAAAGCAUGUUUAACAAUAAGGCAAUGAAAUCAAUUAGACAUGCUCUCCUAAACUAACAACAGGUUUAAUUGAACAAGUAAUCAAAGUAGGAAAAGAAACAUGCUGAUAAAUACUUAGUGAAAACCAAAUUUUCCAACAAUUUUGCACAAGUACGCACUCGUCACCUCACGUACAAGGAAAUUCAAUUAGCAAAUACACCAAUCCUAAGGGUAAGGUCCCCCACACAAGGUUAGACAAGCCACUUACCUCGAACCGGCUCAAAAAUCAACUCGAAACCACGCUUUUGCCACGAGUAUCCGACUCCAAAGGGCCCAAAUCUAUUCAAUUUAAUUGCAUAUUGUAAAUAACACCUCAAGUAACUGAUUCUAGAAUUAAAUUCUAAGCUAAUAUGCGAAAUUACGUAAAAUGACCAAAAUGCCCCUCGGGCCCACGUCUCGGAAUCGAGUAAAAUUUAUGUUUUCAGAAUCCUCACACUCUCACGAGUCUAACAGUAUCAAAAUUAUCCCAAUCCGAUGUUAAAUACCCAAUCAAAGCCCAAUCUCUUGUUAUAAGAACUUUUCCCCCCAAUUUCUACCAAAAUUCCGAAAUUAAAGGAUAGAUUUAAGUGUAGAUUUAUGGAAAUUAGUCCAAACCGAGUAAGAAUCACUUACCCAAAUCGCCCAGGUGAAAAUCCCUUCAAAAAUCGCAAUCUACCGAGCGCCCAAAUCCAAAAUAUGAAUUAUGGUCUAAACCCUCGAUUUUGGAUUUUAAAAAUCAGCCCAGGGAUUUCCUUAAUCGCGAUCACGGAAGGCCAGUGGCAAUCGCGAAGAACAAAACUUACGCGCCUCAAAUUUACCUUACGGGAACGCGGAACCCCAUCCGCGAACGCGAUGCUUAGCUCACUCAGACUUACGCAAUCACGGUUGGCUUUACACGACCGCGUAGAGAAACAUUUACAACAAUACUGCCGCCUUAUUUCUUCUACGCGAACGCGGCCUAGUCCACGCGUUCGUGAUUCAGCACUUCCCAAAAGCUAUGCGUUCGCAUUUCUCUCCACGUGAACGCGAAGAGUAAAUUUCCCUAUGCCUCAUCCAAGCCUUCACAAUCGCGAGCCUCCUCACGCGAUCGCGAUGAAGAUAAACCUGCAACAAAAACCAACAACAAAUCUGAUCUUUCUCCAAGUCCAAAAAUGGUCCGUUGUGCAUCCAAAACACACCCGAGGCCCCCGGGGCCUCAACCAAACCUACCAACAUAUCUCAUAACUUCAUUCAAACUUGUUCCAACCUUCGGAACGCUCAAAACAACAUCAAAACACCUACAUUUCAUCGGAUUCAAGCUUAAGAAUUCCAAAAACUAUAAAAACACGCUUUCGAUCAAAAAGUCUAUCAAACCUCGUCUGAAUGACCUAAAAUUUUGCACAUACGUCACAUUCAACACUAUAGAACUAUUCCAACUUACGGAAUUCCAUUCCGAUCCUCGGAUCAAAAUCUCACCAUCGAACCGAAAAAUUCCAAAAUUCAACUUUCGGCAUUUCAAGCCUAAAUUAGCUACGGACCUCCAAAAUACAAUCCGAACAUGCUCCUAACCCUGAAAUCACCCAAUGGAGCUAACGGAACCAUCGGAUUUACAUUUCGAGGCCGUCUUCACACUGUUCCGACUACGGUUGACUUUCCAACACUUAAGCUCUCAUUUAGGGACUAAGUGUCCCAAAACUCUCCGAAACUUAAAAUCGAACAUCCCGGCAAAUAAAAAUAGCUGAAACAAGUUCAGGGAAAGCAGUUAAUAGGGGAUCGGGGCGUAAAUUCUAAAAAUGACCGGCCGGGUCGUUACAUCCUCCUACACUUAAACAUUCGUCCGUCCGUGAACGAGCAUAGAGACAUACCUGAAGUAGUGAAAAGGUGAGGGAAACAGCUGCGUAUAUCCUGCUCGGUCUCCCAGGUUGCCUCCUCGAUCGACUGACCCCGCCACUGAACCUUUACCUAAGCAAUGUUCUUUGACCUCAGCUUUCUGACCUACCUGUCCAAUAUUGCCACUGGCUCCUCAACAUAAGAUAAAUCCUUGUCCAACUAGACUGAACUGAAAUCCAACACAUGCGACGGAUCACCGUGAUACCUCCAAAGCAUCGAAACAUGAAAUACCGGAUGAACUCCUGCCAAGCUGGCAGGUAAGGCAAGCUCAUAAGCAACUUCCCCAACACGCCUCAAUAUCUCAAAAAGGCCAAUAAACCUCGGACUCAACUUUCCUUUCUUCCCAAAUCUCAUAACGCCCUUCAUAGGCGAAACCCGAAGCAGAACCCGCUCUCCAACCAUAUAGGAAACAUCACGAACCUUCCGCUCCGCGUAACUCUUCUGUCUAUACUGGGCUAUACGGAGUCUGUCCUGAGUUACCUUCACCUUCUCCAAAGUAUCCUGUACCAAAUCUGUGUCCAAUAGUCUAGCCUCCCCUGGCUCAAACAAACCCACCGGAGAUCUACACCACCUACUAUAUAAAGCUGCAUACGGCGCCAUCUGAAUGCUGGACUGAUAAUUGUUAUUGUAAGCAAACUCCACCAAUGGAUAGAACUGAUCCCAAUACCCUCCAAGCUCAAUCACACAUGCACGAAGCAUAUCCUCAAGAAUCCGAAUAGUGCGCUCGGACUGUCCGUCCGUCUAUGGGUGAAAUGUUGUACUCAACUCUACCGGAGUACCCAAGUCACGCUGAACGACCCUCCAAAAUCUUGAUGUGGACUGAGUACCUCUAUCCGAAAUGAUGGAAACUGGAAUACCAUGCAGACGAACAAUCUCCCGGAUAUAAAUCUCUGCCAACCGCUCCGAAGAAUAAGUGGUACACAUAGGAAUGAAAUGAACGGACUUAGUCAGCCGAUCCACAAUCACCCAAAUAGCAUCAAACUUCUUCAAAGUCCGUAGGAGUCCAACUACAAAGUCCAUGGUGAUCCACUCCCACUUCCACUCUGGAAUCUCUAUCUGCUGAAGCAACCCACCCGGCCUCUGGUGCUCAUNNNNNNNNNNNNNNNNNNNNNNNNNNNNNNNNNNNNNNNNNNNNNNNNNNNNNNNNNNNNNNNNNNNNNNNNNNNNNNNNNNNNNNNNNNNNNNNNNNNNNNNNNNNNNNNNNNNNNNNNNNNNNNNNNNNNNNNNNNNNNNNNNNNNNNNNNNNNNNNNNNNNNNNNNNNNNNNNNNNNNNNNNNNNNNNNNNNNNNNNNNNNNNNNNNNNNNNNNNNNNNNNNNNNNNNNNNNNNNNNNNNNNNNNNNNNNNNNNNNNNNNNNNNNNNNNNNNNNNNNNNNNNNNNNNNNNNNNNNNNNNNNNNNNNNNNNNNNNNNNNNNNNNNNNNNNNNNNNNNNNNNNNNNNNNNNNNNNNNNNNNNNNNNNNNNNNNNNNNNNNNNNNNNNNNNNNNNNNNNNNNNNNNNNNNNNNNNNNNNNCUUUGCCAUAGGCCUCUCUGAUGCUAGUAAAUAUGCCAAACUCCCCAAACUCUCUGCCGGGCGACUCAAGGCAUCAACCACUACAUUGGCCCUUCCCGAGUGAUAAAACAAAUAGUGAGGCAAGCCACCCAAUCUCUAAUGCUCAUAUUUCACCUGCUAACAAUUGAGGCACCAAGACACAAACCCCACUAUAUCUUUCUUUAUCCUUCUCCACUAGUAGUGUUGUCUCAAAUCCUGGUACAUCUUCGCGGCACCUAGAUGGAUGGAAUACCGCGAGCUAUGGGCCUCCUCAAGAAUCAACUACAGAAGCCCAUCAACAUUGGGCACACAUAUCCGACCCUCCAUCCUCAAUACCCCAUCAUCACCACUAGUCACAUCUCUGGCAUCGCUGUGCUAAACCAUGUCCUUCAGGACAAGCAAAUGAGGAUCAUCAUACUGGCGCUCUCUGAUAUGAUCAAACAAGGAAGACCGAGAAACCAGACAAGCUAUGAUCCGACUAGGCUCCGAAAUAUCCAACCUCACAAACCGAUUGGCCAAGUCCUGAACAUCAACUGCAAGAGGUCUCUCCCCAAUAGGAAUAAAUGCAAGAUUGCCCAUACUCACCGCCUUCCUACUCAAAGUAUUGGCCACUACAUUGGCCUUCCCCGGAUGAUAAAAAAUAGUAAUAUCAUAGUCCUUUAGCAACUCCAACUAUCUCUGUUGCCUCAAAUUGAGAUCCUUCUGCAUGAACAAGUGCUGGAGGCUACGAUGAUCAGUAAACACCUCACAAGACACGCCAUAGACAUAAUGCCUCCAAAUCUUCAAUGCGUGAACAAUGGCAGCCAACUCCAAAUUGACGAGAAGUAUAAGCGAUCACUCUACCCUCCUACAUCAACACACACCCUAUACCAACCCGAGAAGCAUUGCAAUACAUGGUAUAAGAACCUGAAGCUGAUGGCAAAACUAACACUGGAGUUGUUGUCAAGGUAGUCUUUAGCUUCUGAAAGCUCGCCUCACACUCAUCCGAACACCUAAAAGGAGCACCCUUUUGGAUCAAUUUGGUCAAGGGUGAUGCAAUAGAUGAAAAUCCCUGAACGAGCCGACGGUAGUAACCCGCAAAACCAAGAAAGAUACAAAUCUCUGUGGCUGAGUGUCACAACCCAAACUGAUAGGCCGUGAUGGGCACCCGAUACCUUACUCAACCGAGUACCAACGUAAUGUAUCUUUCUUAUUACAUCAUUAUAUACACGUGACAUACAUGAUCAUUUUUAAAUUCAAAACAUAGUCCAACAAGGUCGUAUAAUCUUUCACGUGCAUGACAUAUGUCUACAAGCCUCUAAGAGUACAUAAAUGUCAUAAAGGUCGGGACAGAGUUUCUCCAUACCCAACAAUACACGUCUAAAUCAUACUAACCAAACACGCAACUCCAAAGCAAAUGUAGUGCACCAACAUCUUCCACUGAGCUGAUAGCCUACUUGGAGGGCUCUCUACCUGUCUGUUUGGACCUGCGGGCAUGAAACGCAAUGUCCCUAGGCAAAAGGGACGUCAGUACGAAAUAAUAUACCGAGUAUGUAAGGAAAUAUACUGAAAGCUGAAACUAAACUGAUAAAAUAAUAACUACAAGUAGCUGGAAGUCAAAGACAAUCUGAAGGUGUGCUUACCUGCUGAUACUAACUCAACUCUCUCAAUAUACUAAGUAAAAUAGUUGUCCGGCCUUAUAAGGCUUGGUAUAUAUUUAUAUAUAUAUAUAUAUAACUGUUCUGUCGUAGUAGGCUCACUCAUAGGCGCUCGGCCAUACUAGGCUCUGUAUCUCGACCAACUGGGCUCACUCAUAGGUUCUCAGCCACAAUAGGCUCGGUAUAUAACUUACCAUCUGAUCAGAGAUUGCCCAAUAGAGGCCUGCCCAUCGAUUAUAACUCGAUGGUAAUGAAAAUACUUUUAGUACUGUAUAUAUGUAAACUCUCUACUCUUUUGACUGGAAAAAGGAAAUACUCUAUGGAAUAUGAAGUUCUGAUAAGAAGAAUAUCGUAACUUGCGAGACUAGCAAAAUAUACGUAAAUUCCGGGAUACAAAUUUUUCAUGCUUCAUUAUCAAACUUGUGUAAUGACAAGAUCAUUCCAAAAUGAAGGAGGAGCUUAUCCUUAAUAUACCUAUUUCUUGAAUUAUAUGAACGAAUCUGCUUCUGCGAAAUAUGAACGAAACUACACUUGGGUUUCCUUGAAAUUGAACGAACUUGCUUUUUGCUUCUAAUAUUUGUGAGCUAAGGAAUGAUUUUAAGCUGCACUUGUUUCCAACGUUUUUUAAGUUGGUUGAAGCUUCUGUUUCUUUCAGAAUGCAUAUAGAAUUGUAAUCUCUUCAAAUUGUAAAUAUCACAUAUGUAUUUUAAUGGUUUGCAUUCUUUAUAAAGAGAGUGGGCCCUAUUCUUUUGUAUGACUAAGCCAACUAAUGUUCUUAAUAUGCCAUAUAUAGGUAAGCUUUUAAGAGUUACAUUUUUGUGACUUUUGUGGCUGCCACAUUACUAGGUAUAAAUUAUUCAAUAUUUAUCCACUUAUUACUUAAUUGGGUAAUGUCUCGUUACUCGAUAAUUAAUUAAUUACCCGCAACAUUAAGAAUUAUUCCCACUUACUUAAAAUACUACUCAGUUUUCACAUACCUUAUACAUCCUACUAUUAUGGUCAUGUGGUACCUCGUAUGGUACUAGUCCAUAAAUACCGAGUAUUUUAGCUCGGGCCGUAUUUUAUCCCAACAUGCCAAACUUGGAUGAAAAUUCAUUUUAUUUUACUUGCUUCCCUUCUCACCUUCACGAAUUUACUUGUUACUUGGUUGAAAUAGCAUAAUCCUUAUAAUCUCCAAAUAAUCUUUUCCUUGGACUGAUGUCAAAUACCUUACGGCAAAUUCAUCGUAUAAUACUACAGGGUGAAACAUCAUCGUAAUGUAGUACUGCGGGACGUGACAUCUCACUUCCGGGCUCUCAUUAAUUUAUUUAUGGCGUACUUUCAUGUACGAAAAUAUAGGGUAUAACAUCAUUCCCCCCUUUUGGAACAUUCGUCCUUGAAUGUUGAAUGAUGCACUUAUCGUUCUCAUAUCCCGUAGCUCUUGCGAAUACUUUAGUAGUCCUUUUGCCAUCUAGGCAACUGUUCUGUGAAUAAGUCCAAAGGUCAGGGCAUUCCCCCCUUUAAACGUCUUUCCCACGCUAUGACUUGUGAUCGAAUUCCUUCCAAUCUCAUAACUGGUGCUACCUCCCAUCAUGCAGCCUCUACGAUACUGACCUUGUAAGUGUGCUUAUACGACUCUCCUCUCCCUUUUCCUCCAAUUUUUAGCCAAUCCUGAAGUUCUCCUCUUUUUUUUUGCCGAACUUACGAAUAUUGCUAUAUCUUAUUUUAUAGACCUGGUUAUCCAUUCGUAUGACUUUACUGCAUCUAUAUAGGUCAUACUAUACCAUAACUCUUACCUCGACUUCUUGUUACUGAGGUCUGCUACCAAAUCUCAGGUUAGUUUUAUUGCUUAUCCCAUACGUAUAAAUCUAUGUCAUCUAAUGCUUCCACACUACUGUUCAUCUUAAGAAUGACGACCUAAUCACUUCUCCUACUUUAUAACUUUUAUCCAUCCAUUGUUGAUUCACCUCAAUUUUGAUCCAUAAUGCACCCUAAUAACUUAACCUUUUAUGUAAUAUUGCUGCUAGGGUUCACGUUUUAUCGGGGAACAUCUGAAAUGAUUAGAUUGAUCCACCUGGGGCGAUACCCUGCUUUUAUAACCGUAUCUCAUGGCAUCCCAAUGUGAUUUACCUUGUGUGGGUAUUUUAAUCAUGUCCAAUUCAUGAGAUCCCUUUCUUUUAUUCGUCAGAUCAUUACUCAAUCGAAGGCCCAAAUGUCAUUUUUUUGUCUAUUACACCCUCAUUCUAUUAACAGGGCAGCAUUCCAUCUCUUCUGAAUGUUAUUAGUAUUAGACUCCUUUGAGUUUAUUCAGGCUAUACUGAACUUUCUAUAACUUAGAGAAACCAUUACCUUUCUUCUUUUAUGGGUUUUAAUCCCGAGGACUUAUCCGUGUAUUGGUUCAGAUAAAUCCAUUUUUUAUCAAAAAUCAAAAACGAAGAAUUUCAUGACUUUAUUGACCUGACUAGGAAAAAAGAAGUUUUUCAAUUUUUUAUGAUACUUCUUAAUUGUUAAUUGAAUGAAAUUGUAAUGGGUAUGAAUUGACGUAGAUGCUUUUAUUUUAUUGGACCACUAUCAAUUCUUUAUUCGUCGAACGAGUAGUUUAAACCUAUCGAUUUUGGAUAUCAUUUAUCUACUUUGAAACCAUUACUAUUAUUAUAACUAUAAUAUAGAAAUCCGUUUUGUUUUCAAUCUAAAUUAAGCUAGGAGUCUCAUUAACCAACCACUAGUUUGAAUUGAACAAGCAAAAAUAUCAUUCUUUUUGAUCCGAACUAAGCCUUCGUAAUUCGGAAUUUAUUUCGAAN
Molecule: long non-coding RNA, 11417 nt
Filed under: Nicotiana tabacum (common tobacco)
Lineage: Eukaryota; Viridiplantae; Streptophyta; Magnoliopsida; Solanales; Solanaceae
Description: long non-coding RNA (NTAB_LNC016260)
Source: RNAcentral